GACGAACGCUGGCGGCGUGCCUAAUACAUGCAAGUUGAGCGCUGAAGGUUGGUACUUGUACCAACUGGAUGAGCAGCGAACGGGUGAGUAACGCGUGGGGAAUCUGCCUUUGAGCGGGGGACAACAUUUGGAAAUGAAUGCUAAUACCGCAUAAAAACUUUAAACACAAGUUUUAAGUUUGAAAGAUGCAAUUGCAUCACUCAAAGAUGAUCCCGCGUUGUAUUAGCUAGUUGGUGAGGUAAAGGCUCACCAAGGCGAUGAUACAUAGCCGACCUGAGAGGGUGAUCGGCCACAUUGGGACUGAGACACGGCCCAAACUCCUACGGGAGGCAGCAGUAGGGAAUCUUCGGCAAUGGACGAAAGUCUGACCGAGCAACGCCGCGUGAGUGAAGAAGGGUUUCGGAUCGUAAAACUCUGUUGGUAGAGAAGAACGUUGGUGAGAGUGGAAAGCUCAUCAAGUGACGGUAACUACCCAGAAAGGGACGGCUAACUACGUG
RNAcentral lists this ribosomal RNA (497 nucleotides) under uncultured bacterium. Its description in RNAcentral is "partial 16S ribosomal RNA". It matches the Rfam family "Bacterial small subunit ribosomal RNA", at positions 28 to 507 of the family's 1533-position model. The record is from RNAcentral.